ACGUACCACUCAUACGCUGCGGUUCUGAGCGCGCAGCCCGCAUACACUGAAGACUGCUCGCCAAGUGUUGUCAGCC
Small RNA from Xanthomonas campestris pv. campestris, 76 nucleotides. It matches the Rfam family "Xanthomonas sRNA sX9". NCBI's taxonomy places the organism in Bacteria, Pseudomonadati, Pseudomonadota, Gammaproteobacteria, Lysobacterales, Lysobacteraceae. The record is from Rfam.